CAGCCAAGCGUUCAUAGCGACGU
RNAcentral lists this small RNA (23 nucleotides) under Arabidopsis thaliana (thale cress). RNAcentral's name for it is "Ath_wt_08157". Lineage: Eukaryota; Viridiplantae; Streptophyta; Magnoliopsida; Brassicales; Brassicaceae. The record is from RNAcentral.